UUGCAUAAUUUCAGGAAAAAAAAUUUGCAGUUAUCUCCAAAAAAAAAAAAAUGAUUUUGGUCCUUUAUUUUUUGUAACUGUAAAGUUCUUCACAAUUCUCUCCUCUUCCCCCCUUAAAAAUCUCAACUUAAAUUUUCAUCUCAAAUUCUUGAAUAAAGGGCAGAAAGUUGCCUACCCUGAAAAACCCCAAAGGUUGGGUUGAUUGUAUUUGAAAACCCUCUAUUUUAUUGCAUGAAUGCAUCAUUGAUUAAAUAUUUUUGGGUGAUUUUAUUAAUAUCUCUUUCUCAAUUGAUGGUGUGAUUGAUUCGUCUGGUGGAAGAACUAAGAAGAUGGCUAUGAUGAAAACUUCAUUCAGUUUGAAGGUUUGUUUUUACAAUAUGUAAACUAAUUCUCUACCUCAAAUAUUAGAAAAAAAUAAACCAUUGCAGGUAACCAAAAACAAAAAUUCUCACAUGCAAUUGAUAUACGGCAGAUCUGAACAACACCAAAUUCUCACAGUUGAUGUACAUGCUGCUAAUGAUCUCCUUUAUUCUAGCCAUUGCUAUUUUGAUGUCAGUGGAGCGUAACUCCUACGAAAUGGCGUCCACAUGGAACUUUGGAUUUCCAGCAUCAAUUUUCCAUUACCAAAUUUGAGGUGCAAAUAAGAAGAGUGGGAGAAAGCAAAUUAAAAGAUCGCAAGAUUGCGGGCAAAAAUUAUUUUACAAACGACACCGAAACCUGAUCUUUCAAAAUUUGAAGGUUUGUUUAGAGCUAAUAUAAAUUUAAGUUUUAAGAUGUAAAGAUUUACACAAAUUUGAUUAAGAGUUCAUUUAUUGCUUACAGUUGCAUGCAAGUAUUACUAGCAUUAGCUUUUCUUUUUCUUUUAGUUCACGAGAGUUUGGUUUUAUGUUGUGAUGGAUGCAUUUGAUUUGGGCUAUUAUAAUCUGCAUUGAGUAUUUCCCUGAGAGCUUUUGGGUUUUCAUGAG
Long non-coding RNA from Beta vulgaris subsp. vulgaris (sugar beet), 965 nucleotides. RefSeq lists it as uncharacterized. Lineage: Eukaryota; Viridiplantae; Streptophyta; Magnoliopsida; Caryophyllales; Amaranthaceae. The record is from RefSeq and is a predicted model, not a curated record. The transcript is spliced from 3 exons.